UAGACUCGGCGCAUGUCCAGCCCCCGUCACCAACCGGCCGACACACCGGGUUUCCUGCAAAUGUGAGCCCUGUGGAAGUGUUACAGGACUCUGCGAUGAUGAAGCCUUCUAAUUUUCUAUUUCAUGGUCCCAUCCUGGUAGCCCUCAGGAGCAGCCAAGGAGUUGUGGUGCACUCUGCAACAAUGGCGACGGUCUCUGAGCAAGCACGAAGCGUGUGGCCCGAGGACCUGGGCAUUCUUAGGAGAGGGAAUGAGAGACAAUAGCCCGGUGUCAGCAGGGACUCUCCCAGACGGCACGU
Serinus canaria (Common canary) is the source of this 298-nucleotide long non-coding RNA. RefSeq lists it as uncharacterized. NCBI's taxonomy places the organism in Eukaryota, Metazoa, Chordata, Aves, Passeriformes, Fringillidae. The record is from RefSeq and is a predicted model, not a curated record. The transcript is spliced from 3 exons.